This 215-nucleotide ribosomal RNA is filed under the name Campeiostachys nutans. RNAcentral's name for it is "Elymus nutans partial small subunit ribosomal RNA". The stretch from base 39 to 215 matches the Rfam family "Eukaryotic small subunit ribosomal RNA", at positions 686 to 864 of the family's 1831-position model. Lineage: Eukaryota; Viridiplantae; Streptophyta; Magnoliopsida; Poales; Poaceae. The record is from RNAcentral.
GGACCAAGUCGUCGGUCGUGCUUAGGUACGUACUGGCGUCAUUGAUUCCUCCUUCCUGAUGAACCUUAAUGCCAUUUAUUUGGUGUUUUGGGGAAUUUGGACUGUUACUUUGAAAAAAUUAGAGUGUUUAAAGCAAGCUAACGCUUGAAUACAUUAGCAUGGAAUAAUGAAAUAGGACGUUCGAUCCUAUUUUGUUGGUUUCUAGGAUUGACGUA